RNAcentral lists this small RNA (468 nucleotides) under Pongo abelii (Sumatran orangutan). Its description in RNAcentral is "retained intron". The record is from RNAcentral. Lineage: Eukaryota; Metazoa; Chordata; Mammalia; Primates; Hominidae.
UAGAGGAGGGCGAGCGGCGGGGCAGAGAGAGGCGCAGCGCAGCUCCUGAGGUUUUGGUUAUGAACAGGAUUCGGAUUCACGUCUUGCCAACCAAUCGGGGGAGGAUCACUCCAGUGCCCAGGUCUCAGGAACCUCUGUCUUGUGCAUUCACUCAUCGUCCAUGCUCUCAGCCUCGUCUGGAGGGGCAGGAGUUUUGCAUUAAGCAUAUCCUUGAAGACAAGAAUGCACCCUUCAAGCAGUGUAGUUAUAUAUCGACGAAGAAUGGAAAAAGAUGUCCCAAUGCUGCCCCAAAGCCAGAGAAGAAAGAUGGGUAUAUAUGUAUAGAUAUAUAUGUUGUUUGUCUUAAAGGGAGGGGGUAUGUGAUAUGAUGCGGGCUUCAGCAUAGCUGCCGCGUUUGAGAUCACGUUCUUGUAAAUUUGGGGUUAUGGUUGUAUCCUUGGAAAACUGAAAAAACGGUGAAGACUGGAA